This 1546-nucleotide ribosomal RNA is filed under the name Salmonella enterica subsp. enterica serovar Tennessee. Its description in RNAcentral is "bacterial SSU rRNA". It matches the Rfam family "Bacterial small subunit ribosomal RNA". The record is from RNAcentral. Lineage: Bacteria; Pseudomonadati; Pseudomonadota; Gammaproteobacteria; Enterobacterales; Enterobacteriaceae.
UUAAAUUGAAGAGUUUGAUCAUGGCUCAGAUUGAACGCUGGCGGCAGGCCUAACACAUGCAAGUCGAACGGUAACAGGAAGCAGCUUGCUGCUUCGCUGACGAGUGGCGGACGGGUGAGUAAUGUCUGGGAAACUGCCUGAUGGAGGGGGAUAACUACUGGAAACGGUGGCUAAUACCGCAUAACGUCGCAAGACCAAAGAGGGGGACCUUCGGGCCUCUUGCCAUCAGAUGUGCCCAGAUGGGAUUAGCUUGUUGGUGAGGUAACGGCUCACCAAGGCGACGAUCCCUAGCUGGUCUGAGAGGAUGACCAGCCACACUGGAACUGAGACACGGUCCAGACUCCUACGGGAGGCAGCAGUGGGGAAUAUUGCACAAUGGGCGCAAGCCUGAUGCAGCCAUGCCGCGUGUAUGAAGAAGGCCUUCGGGUUGUAAAGUACUUUCAGCGGGGAGGAAGGUGUUGUGGUUAAUAACCGCAGCAAUUGACGUUACCCGCAGAAGAAGCACCGGCUAACUCCGUGCCAGCAGCCGCGGUAAUACGGAGGGUGCAAGCGUUAAUCGGAAUUACUGGGCGUAAAGCGCACGCAGGCGGUCUGUCAAGUCGGAUGUGAAAUCCCCGGGCUCAACCUGGGAACUGCAUUCGAAACUGGCAGGCUUGAGUCUUGUAGAGGGGGGUAGAAUUCCAGGUGUAGCGGUGAAAUGCGUAGAGAUCUGGAGGAAUACCGGUGGCGAAGGCGGCCCCCUGGACAAAGACUGACGCUCAGGUGCGAAAGCGUGGGGAGCAAACAGGAUUAGAUACCCUGGUAGUCCACGCCGUAAACGAUGUCUACUUGGAGGUUGUGCCCUUGAGGCGUGGCUUCCGGAGCUAACGCGUUAAGUAGACCGCCUGGGGAGUACGGCCGCAAGGUUAAAACUCAAAUGAAUUGACGGGGGCCCGCACAAGCGGUGGAGCAUGUGGUUUAAUUCGAUGCAACGCGAAGAACCUUACCUGGUCUUGACAUCCACGGAAGUUUUCAGAGAUGAGAAUGUGCCUUCGGGAACCGUGAGACAGGUGCUGCAUGGCUGUCGUCAGCUCGUGUUGUGAAAUGUUGGGUUAAGUCCCGCAACGAGCGCAACCCUUAUCCUUUGUUGCCAGCGAUUAGGUCGGGAACUCAAAGGAGACUGCCAGUGAUAAACUGGAGGAAGGUGGGGAUGACGUCAAGUCAUCAUGGCCCUUACGACCAGGGCUACACACGUGCUACAAUGGCGCAUACAAAGAGAAGCGACCUCGCGAGAGCAAGCGGACCUCAUAAAGUGCGUCGUAGUCCGGAUUGGAGUCUGCAACUCGACUCCAUGAAGUCGGAAUCGCUAGUAAUCGUGGAUCAGAAUGCCACGGUGAAUACGUUCCCGGGCCUUGUACACACCGCCCGUCACACCAUGGGAGUGGGUUGCAAAAGAAGUAGGUAGCUUAACCUUCGGGAGGGCGCUUACCACUUUGUGAUUCAUGACUGGGGUGAAGUCGUAACAAGGUAACCGUAGGGGAACCUGCGGUUGGAUCACCUCCUUACC